This 339-nucleotide unclassified non-coding RNA is filed under the name soil metagenome. RNAcentral's name for it is "partial contains 5.8S ribosomal RNA, internal transcribed spacer 2, and large subunit ribosomal RNA". The stretch from base 1 to 120 matches the Rfam family "5.8S ribosomal RNA", at positions 35 to 154 of the family's 154-position model. The record is from RNAcentral.
GAUGAAGAACGUAGCGUAAUGCGAUACGUAGUGUGAAUUGCAGAAUUCAGUGAAUCAUCGAAUCUUUGAACGCACAUUGCACCUCUCGGUAUUCCGGGAGGUAUGCCUGUUCGAGCGUCAUUUGUACCCUCAAGCUCUGCUUGGUGUUGGGUGUUUGUUCCGCCUCUGUGUGUGAACUCACCUCAAAACAAUUGGCAGCCGGCGUACUUGUUUCGGAGCGCAGCACAUUUUGCGAUCCAGAUCAACGUACAGCGGCAUCCAAGAAGCCUUAUUUAACGCUCUUGACCUCGGAUCAGGUAGGGAUACCCGCUGAACUUAAGCAUAUCAAUAAGCGGAGGA